CCUACGGGUGGCAGCAGUGGGGAAUAUUGGGCAAUGGGCGCAAGCCUGACCCAGCAACGCCGCGUGAAGGAAGAAGGCUUUCGGGUUGUAAACUUCUUUUCUCAGGGACGAAGCAAGUGACGGUACCUGAGGAAUAAGCCACGGCUAACUACGUGCCAGCAGCCGCGGUAAUACGUAGGUGGCAAGCGUUAUCCGGAUUUACUGGGGGUAAAGGGCGUGCAGCCGGGAAGACAAGUCAGAUGUGAAAUCCCGCGGCUCAACCGCGGAACUGCAUUUGAAACUGGUUGUCUUGAGUAUCGGAGAGGGAGUCGGAAUUCCUGGUGUAGCGGUGAAAUGCGUAGAGAUUAGGAAGAACACCAGUGGCGAAGGCGGAUUACUGGACGACAACUGACGGUGAGGCGCGAAAGCGUGGGGAGCAAACAGGAUUAGAUACCCGGGUAGUC
Molecule: ribosomal RNA, 443 nt
Filed under: uncultured bacterium
Lineage: Bacteria
Description: partial 16S ribosomal RNA
Rfam family: Bacterial small subunit ribosomal RNA
Source: RNAcentral